CACGCAGCAAAGGGCCGCAGAUUGGAUUUGAACCCGGGCUGCUGCAAAGGCUUCAGCCUACAUGGAGCGCAUGCUCUUACUCGGAAUUGAUUGUAAAUAAAAGGAUACUGUCUGAUGACUGCAAGUCGAAAGAGAAAUGCAACAUGAUUGGUCCAUGGGAGGUUUCGGCCACGGCCCGCCUGGCAGAGAUUUCACAAAUGCCUGAAAUUCACCAAAAACGGAGAAGAAGAGGCAAAGAAGAGCAGGAACACAAGCAUGUAGCCCGCCAUUGUUGUUAUGAGACGACGUCGCGGGAUAAGAGGUCGAAGGCUAGAGGUCGAGGGUUGUGGCGAUGACA
This is a long non-coding RNA of Perca fluviatilis (European perch), 337 nucleotides long. RefSeq lists it as uncharacterized. NCBI's taxonomy places the organism in Eukaryota, Metazoa, Chordata, Actinopteri, Perciformes, Percidae. The transcript has 4 exons. The record is from RefSeq and is a predicted model, not a curated record.